This 511-nucleotide long non-coding RNA is filed under the name Rattus norvegicus (Norway rat). RNAcentral describes it as "long non-coding RNA NONRATT026405". The record is from RNAcentral. Lineage: Eukaryota; Metazoa; Chordata; Mammalia; Rodentia; Muridae.
CUGGAUUAACCAGUGGUUAGUGGAGAUGCGAGAAAAGACGCUAAUGCUGGCAAGGCAAUAACAUGGACUUCCUCGCCUUAUUCCUCUUUUCAUCAGAGAUGGCAAAACCAGCAGCUCCUUCUGCCUCGAGUUGCUUACUGAACUGAAAGGAAAGGAGUGUACACAAAGAAGCCAUAGGAACAAAAGCCAGCUGGUGGUGCGCAGGUAAUCCCAGUCUUCCAGAUAGACCUCUGAGCUACUGCAGUGUCUGGCACUGGGCCAUAAAAGACGAACUGGGAAGGGACCCCUAUUCCUUCACAUGAAGUAAAGCCAGGGCCCCACUCUGCUGUCUUCCAAGACUAGAAGCACAGCACAGGAAGCGAAGAGGACCGAUGUGCAGUCCUACACCAGAUGGCUCACAACUGUCAUUCCAGCUCCAGAGGAUCUGACACCCUUUUCUGCCUUCCAUGGGCACCUUCCUCUUCCUCCUGAGACAGGACAUAGAUGAGCAUUUAAUAAAUAAGACAGAAGC